CCUACGGGUGGCAGCAGUGAGGAAUAUUGGUCAAUGGGCGCGAGCCUGAACCAGCCAAGUCGCGUGAGGGAAGACGGUCCUAUGGAUUGUAAACCUCUUUUGUCGGGGAGCAAAAGACGCCACGCGUGGCGUUCCGAGAGUACCCGAAGAAAAAGCAUCGGCUAACUCCGUGCCAGCAUCCGCGGUAAUAAGGAGGAUGCGAGCGUUAUCCGGAUUUAGUGGGUUUAACGGGGGCGCAGGCGGAAGAUCAAGUCAGCGGUAAAAUUGAGAGGCUCAACCUCUUCGAGCCGUUGAAACUGGUUUUCUUGAGUGAGUGAGAAGUAUGCGGAAUGCGUGGUGUAGCGGUGAAAUGCAUAGAUAUCACGCAGAACUCCGAUUGCGAAGGCAGCAUACCGGCGCCCAACUGACGCUGAAGCACGAAAGCGUGGGUAUCGAACAGGAUUAGAUACCCCUGUAGUC
RNAcentral lists this ribosomal RNA (459 nucleotides) under uncultured bacterium. Its description in RNAcentral is "partial 16S ribosomal RNA". It matches the Rfam family "Bacterial small subunit ribosomal RNA", at positions 338 to 795 of the family's 1533-position model. The record is from RNAcentral.